RNAcentral lists this transfer RNA (68 nucleotides) under Neoceratias spinifer. RNAcentral's name for it is "tRNA-His". It matches the Rfam family "tRNA". Rfam says of the family: Transfer RNA (tRNA) molecules are approximately 80 nucleotides in length. Their secondary structure includes four short double-helical elements and three loops (D, anti-codon, and T loops). Further hydrogen bonds mediate the characteristic L-shaped molecular structure. tRNAs have two regions of fundamental functional importance: the anti-codon, which is responsible for specific mRNA codon recognition, and the 3' end, to which the tRNAs corresponding amino acid is attached (by aminoacyl-tRNA synthetases). tRNAs cope with the degeneracy of the genetic code in two manners: having more than one tRNA (with a specific anti-codon) for a particular amino acid; and 'wobble' base-pairing, i.e. permitting non-standard base-pairing at the 3rd anti-codon position. Lineage: Eukaryota; Metazoa; Chordata; Actinopteri; Lophiiformes; Neoceratiidae. The record is from RNAcentral.
GUAGGUAUAGUUUAACAAAACGUUAGAUUGUGAUUCUAGAGAUAAGGGUGAGACACCCUUUACCCACC